UGUAUUUGUUAUAUCAGUUCAAUAAGCUAUUUUGUGAAAGACGACUAGGCUAUAUUGAAAUAAGUCGUCUGACAAAUGAUCAUAUGAUGUAUUGAUUAUAACUUAUGCCUGUCUAUCAUGCCAAUACGCUAGAUAACGGAAGUCAAAUUAAGGUAUACAGACGAGGAGACAUACAAAGUUAUGCCAAUUGAUAUUGGUAUGUUAUGCAGAUCAGAUUUACCAUCCUCCUCCCUUCCCUCUUCAAUAAAUAUCCCAUAGGCCCAUAGGCCUCUACAUUAUGGACAAGACUUCAUCCUCCCUACACCUCUGAUGAAUGUAACAGGAAACCUGUUCAAUCAUGCACUGCAAAAUCGUUCUGACUAUGAAUACGGAGAACAUCAACACAUUAAAACAUCAACAGCCAGAGGAUAUACCCAUUAGACUUGGGGCUCUGCUGGGAGUUUACCUCAUGUUUGGAUUUUUGUAUUCUGCUUUGCCACUAAAAUCUAAAUAAAC
This 495-nucleotide long non-coding RNA is filed under the name Salmo salar (Atlantic salmon). RNAcentral's name for it is "lncRNA (ENSSSAG00000087632.1, ENSSSAG00020071003.1, ENSSSAG00075038127.1)". The record is from RNAcentral. Lineage: Eukaryota; Metazoa; Chordata; Actinopteri; Salmoniformes; Salmonidae.